Long non-coding RNA from Pseudopipra pipra, 723 nucleotides. RefSeq lists it as uncharacterized. The record is from RefSeq and is a predicted model, not a curated record. NCBI's taxonomy places the organism in Eukaryota, Metazoa, Chordata, Aves, Passeriformes, Pipridae. The transcript is spliced from 3 exons.
AGGGGUGUACACGGGGAGGACUUUUCCAGCUGCUGUGCUGGUUGUUCCAUACAAGCUAAACUCACAUCACAGGGGUCCUCCAGGAGUCAAGAGCCAACCUCAAGUUGAAAAGAAAUCCCAGGAGCCAUCUGAAAGCAUGAGGCAAAUGCUGAAGGAAAUGCUGCAAGGAGGGCCUGGUGGGAAUCAUGACUUGGAUUACCUGCAAGUUCUUGUGGAUGAUGCUUUGAGUUUCCUGGAGCAACCUGGAGGCAAGUUCUCAGUGUCCCUUUCCUGACAGAAUAAUUCCUUUCAAUGUGGCAAGAGCUCAUUCAUGUGCCAUUUUCCUGAAGACCCUCUCAAGGUUGCUGGAUUGUGGCAAUCAUGGCCGAAUCUUUGCUCAGGCCCAAGAGGGAUCCCACAGGAUCCCUGUCAGGGGGAGCUUUUAAUCUUCUUUCCCUGGAAAUGCCAGUUGCUCCCUCUGUGUCGACACGGAGAAGGGCAGAGAGGGAAGGGGCCGGGCCCAGGGCUGUGCCCGGGGGGCUGUGCCUGGCGCGGCUCCUUUGCCGGCCCCUCGGAGCCGGAGGUCCUCCCGCUGCUGCUGCCAAGCCAUGGCCCUCGCUGGGGCUGAGUUUGGAGCUGGGGCAGCUCCAGGGAGUCCCUGGUGCCCUGACAGCUCUGCGUGGGGCUCCUUUGGUCCCAACAUGUAGAUCAGCAGGUAUGACAGAAUCUUCUCUGGCUGUUGAG